This 705-nucleotide ribosomal RNA is filed under the name uncultured archaeon. RNAcentral describes it as "bacterial SSU rRNA". It matches the Rfam family "Archaeal small subunit ribosomal RNA", at positions 48 to 757 of the family's 1478-position model. The record is from RNAcentral.
UCCAUGCGAGAUAUUGUAGUAAUACAAGGCAGACGGCUCAGUAACGCGUAGUCAACCUAACCUAUGGACGGGAAUAACCUCGGGAAACUGAGUAUAAUGCCCGAUAGAACAUUAUGCCUGGAAUGGUUUAUGUUCCAAAUGAUUUAUCGCCGUAGGAUGGGACUGCGGCCUAUCAGUUUGUUGGUGAGGUAAUGGCCCACCAAGACUAUUACAGGUACGGGCUCUGAGAGGAGUAGCCCGGAGAUGGGUACUGAGACACGGACCCAGGCCCUAUGGGGCGCAGCAGGCGAGAAAACUUUGCAAUGUGCGAAAGCACGACAAGGUUAAUCCGAGUGGUUUCUGCUAAAGGAACCUUUUGUCGGUCCUAGAAACACCGAUGAAUAAGGGGUGGGCAAGUUCUGGUGUCAGCCGCCGCGGUAAAACCAGCACCUCAAGUGGUCAGGAUGAUUAUUGGGCCUAAAGCAUCCGUAGCCGGCUCUAUAAGUUUUCGGUUAAAUCUGUACGCUCAACGUACAGGCUGCCGGGAAUACUGCAGAGCUAGGGAGUGGGAGAGGUAGACGGUACUCGGUAGGAAGGGGUAAAAUCCUUUGAUCUAUUGGUGACCACCUGUGGCGAAGGCCGGUCUACCAGAACACGUCCGACUGUGAGGGAUGAAAGCUGGGGGAGCAAACCGGAUUAGGAACCCCGGGUAGUCCCAGCUGGGAA